RNAcentral lists this ribosomal RNA (252 nucleotides) under uncultured bacterium. RNAcentral's name for it is "partial 16S ribosomal RNA". It matches the Rfam family "Bacterial small subunit ribosomal RNA", at positions 524 to 776 of the family's 1533-position model. The record is from RNAcentral.
UACGAAGGGGGCUAGCGUUGUUCGGAAUUACUGGGCGUAAAGCGCGCGCAGGCGGCUAUCCAAGUCAGUGGUGAAAGCCGGAGCUCAACUCCGGAACUGCCAUUGAAACUGUUUAGCUUGAGGACGAGAGAGGUGAGUGGAAUUCCCAGUGUAGAGGUGAAAUUCGUAGAUAUUGGGAAGAACACCGGUGGCGAAGGCGGCUCACUGGCUCGUAUCUGACGCUCAGGCGCGACAGCGUGGGGAUCAAACAGG